Molecule: transfer RNA, 71 nt
Filed under: Camelus bactrianus (Bactrian camel)
Lineage: Eukaryota; Metazoa; Chordata; Mammalia; Artiodactyla; Camelidae
Also listed under: 1 other name
Rfam family: tRNA
About the family: Transfer RNA (tRNA) molecules are approximately 80 nucleotides in length. Their secondary structure includes four short double-helical elements and three loops (D, anti-codon, and T loops).
Source: Rfam by way of RNAcentral
GAGGGUAUAGCUCGAUGGUAGGGUGCAUGCUUAGCAUGCAUGAGGUCCUGGUGCAAUCCCCAGUACCUCUG